Molecule: ribosomal RNA, 467 nt
Filed under: uncultured bacterium
Lineage: Bacteria
Description: partial 16S ribosomal RNA
Rfam family: Bacterial small subunit ribosomal RNA
Source: RNAcentral
GACGGACGCUGGCGGCGUGCUUAACACAUGCAAGUCGAACGGAAAGGCCCUGCUUUUGUGGGGUGCUCGAGUGGCGAACGGGUGAGUAACACGUGAGUAGCCUGCCCUUGACUUUGGGAUAACUUCAGGAAACUGGGGCUAAUACCGGAUAGGAGCUCCUGCUGCAUGGUGGGGGUUGGAAAGUUUCGGCGGUUGGGGAUGGACUCGCGGCUUAUCAGCUUGUUGGUGGGGUAGUGGCUUACCAAGGCUUUGACGGGUAGCCGGCCUGAGAGGGUGACCGGCCACAUUGGGACUGAGAUACGGCCCAGACUCCUACGGGAGCAGCAGUGGGGAAUAUUGCACAAUGGGCGGAAGCCUGAUGCAGCAACGCCGCGUGCGGGAUGACGGCCUUCGGGUUGUAAACCGCUUUCGCCUGUGACGAAGCGUGAGUGACGGUAAUGGGUAAAGAAGCACCGGCUAACUACGUG